RNAcentral lists this unclassified non-coding RNA (220 nucleotides) under uncultured fungus. RNAcentral describes it as "sequence contains ITS1, 5.8S rRNA gene". The stretch from base 172 to 220 matches the Rfam family "5.8S ribosomal RNA", at positions 1 to 49 of the family's 154-position model. The record is from RNAcentral. Lineage: Eukaryota; Fungi.
UUUCCGUAGGUGAACCUGCGGAAGGAUCAUUACCUAGAGUUGCGGGCUUUGCCUGCUAUCUCUUACCCAUGUCUUUUGAGUACCUUCGUUUCCUCGGCGGGUUCGCCCGCCGAUUGGACAAUUUAAACCAUUUGCAGUUGCAAUCAGCGUCUGAAAAAACUUAAUAGUUACAACUUUCAACAACGGAUCUCUUGGUUCUGGCAUCGAUGAAGAACGCAGC